Non-coding RNA from Linepithema humile (Argentine ant), 1417 nucleotides. The record is from RefSeq and is a predicted model, not a curated record. NCBI's taxonomy places the organism in Eukaryota, Metazoa, Arthropoda, Insecta, Hymenoptera, Formicidae.
AACAAGGACGAUUUAUCCACAGUUGUCUUACAUGUUCUCGCUCAACGACAAGUAGUCGAUCUUUCAAGGAAAUAUAAUGGCUUUUAGUUUUUCAUUUUUAAUAAUCCGUAUUGUAUUCGUACCAGUCUUAAAUAUGAAUUGUGUGCAUCUAUAUAUAUCUUCGCUCUUGCUCAGUUUGCUUGUGUCUCUAGGACGAUCUGAGUUUCAUGUGGAAUUGGUCCAAGUGGUAAUGAGACAUGGAGAACGUACACCGUUACUUAAGGAAAUGUAUCCCAACGAUCCAUAUAAUACGUCAGUUUAUGAACCGUGGGGUCUUGGCCAACUGACCAAUAAAGGAAAAUUGACGGAAUAUCGAAUCGGCACAAUGUUGAGAGAACGUUACAACGAUUUUCUAGGGUCAAUUUAUCAUCCACGAGAUAUCUAUGCUGUCAGCACAGACGUCGACCGGACGAAAAUGUCUCUGCAGUUGAUGUUAGCAGGGUUAUAUCCUCCACAUCCAACACAAUUAUGGAAUCCGGAUUUACCAUGGCUAGCUAUUCCUACGCAUUACGCUCCUGAAAGAGUGGACACGGUGCUGAAACCUCAUAACUGCCCAGUAUACAUAGCAGCCUUAGAAGAGGUAACAGAAACCAAAGAAGUCCGCGAUAAAAUUGCAAUUUACAAAGACUUUUUAAAAUUUUUGAGUGAGAAAACUGGAAUAACCAUCCAACAGUCAAAACCCGCUUACGAAGUUUUCAAUCUACUAACAGCACAGAAAAACAUGAAUCUAACUCUGCCGGAGUGGUGCACUGACGAAGUAUACCACAAGAUGGAGGACUUAAUGGAAUUGGAAUAUGAGCUCCGUUCGUACACGACUCAGUUAAAGCGAUUGAACGGCGGUAUGUUGAUCAAGAAAUUUAUCGACAAUUUGAACAUCACAGGAAAAAAUACGAUUCCACGCAAGAUGUACAUAUACAGUGCCCAUGACAUAAAUAUUGCAGCGUUUGCCAGAGCUCAUAAUAUCAGCGAGCCGCGCUUGCCAGAUUAUGGUUCAGCAUUCAUAUUUGAGAAGUUACGAGAUGACGCUGAUGAACUCUACGUCAGGAUUAUCUUAUGGACCGGCAGAACAGAAAAGUUGAUAACUAUGAAGCUUGCGGACUGCAAUGAACUUUGUCCUUUGGAAACUUAUUUAGAGCUCGUACGAGAUGUGACACCAUCGGACGACGAGACAACUUGCUUGUGGAAUGAUAUAACCAGAGAAGAACUACUGAAACUCUUUGAGGAAAGGCUCAAUUUAGAUUAGGCAAGUUUUGUUCAGGAAUUAAAUUAUUGGAGAGACUGGUUUUAAAGAAACAAUUUCAAAUAAGGAGAAGAACAUAGCAGACAAUUAAACUUGGAAAGAAUUGUUGCAAUAAAUAUAUUUGAGUCUGCCCUAUAA